RNAcentral lists this ribosomal RNA (477 nucleotides) under uncultured bacterium. RNAcentral's name for it is "SSU rRNA". It matches the Rfam family "Bacterial small subunit ribosomal RNA", at positions 26 to 521 of the family's 1533-position model. The record is from RNAcentral.
AGGAUGAACGCUGGCGGCGUGCCUAACACAUGCAAGUCGAACGUCCUGUCUCGCAAGAGGCAGGGAGUGGCGGACGGGUGAGUACCACGUGGGUCAUCUACCGUGAGGUGAGGAAUACCGGCGAGAAAUCGCCGACAAGACCGCAUAGGCUCGAUGCAAGUCGAGCAAAGCUCUUUCGAGAGAGGGAGCGCCACACGAGGAGCCUGCGCCCGAUUAGCUAGCUGGUGGAGUAACGGUUCACCAGGGCGACGAUCGGUAGCUGGUCUGAGAGGACGAUCAGCCACACUGGGAUUGAGAACGGCCCAGACUCCUACGGGGGGCAGCAGUGAGGAAUUUUCGUCAAUGGGGGCAACCCUGAACGAGCAACGCCGCGUGCAGGAAGAAGGUUUUCGGAUCGUAAACUGCUUUUCUCGGGAAGAGGAACGGACGGUACCCGAGGAAUCGACGCCCGGCUAACUACGUGCCAGCAGCCGCGGU